Molecule: ribosomal RNA, 442 nt
Filed under: uncultured bacterium
Lineage: Bacteria
Description: bacterial SSU rRNA
Rfam family: Bacterial small subunit ribosomal RNA
Source: RNAcentral
GAUGAACGCUGGCGGCGUGCUUAACACAUGCAAGUCGAACGAAGCACUUCAUAAAGCUUGCUUUAGGAAGUGACUUAGUGGCGGACGGGUGAGUAACGCGUGGGUAACCUGCCUUACACAGGGGGAUAACAGUUAGAAAUGACUGCUAAUACCGCAUAAAACAGCAGAGUCGCAUGACUCAACUGUCAAAGAUUUAUCGGUGUAAGAUGGACCCGCGUCUGAUUAGCUAGUUGGUGGGGUAACGGCCUACCAAGGCGACGAUCAGUAGCCGGCCUGAGAGGGUGAACGGCCACAUUGGGACUGAGACACGGCCCAAACUCCUACGGGAGGCAGCAGUGGGGAAUAUUGGACAAUGGGCGAAAGCCUGAUCCAGCGACGCCGCGUGAGCGAUGAAGUAUUUCGGUAUGUAAAGCUCUAUCAGCAGGGAAGAAAACGACGGUAC